RNAcentral lists this ribosomal RNA (301 nucleotides) under uncultured bacterium. Its description in RNAcentral is "partial 16S ribosomal RNA". It matches the Rfam family "Bacterial small subunit ribosomal RNA", at positions 509 to 807 of the family's 1533-position model. The record is from RNAcentral.
CAGUCGCCGCGGUAAUACGUAGGUGGCAAGCGUUGUCCGGAAUCAUUGGGCGUAAAGGGCUCGCAGGCGGUUUCUUAAGUCUGAUGUGAAAGCCCCCGGCUCAACCGGGGAGGGUCAUUGGAAACUGGGAAACUUGAGUGCAGAAGAGGAGAGUGGAAUUCCACGUGUAGCGGUGAAAUGCGUAGAGAUGUGGAGGAACACCAGUGGCGAAGGCGACUCUCUGGUCUGUAACUGACGCUGAGGAGCGAAAGCGUGGGGAGCGAACAGGAUUAGAUACCCCCGUAGUCCCUGUCUCUUAUAC